CAGUAGCCGCGGGAAUACAGAGGGUGCGAGCGUUAAUCGGAUUUACUGGGCGUAAAGCGUGCGUAGGCGGCUUCUUAAGUCGGAUGUGAAAUCCCUGAGCUUAACUUAGGAAUUGCAUUCGAUACUGGGAAGCUAGAGUAUGGGAGAGGAUGGUAGAAUUCCAGGUGUAGCGGUGAAAUGCGUAGAGAUCUGGAGGAAUACCGAUGGCGAAGGCAGCCAUCUGGCCUAAUACUGACGCUGAGGUACGAAAGCAUGGGGAGCAAACAGGAUUAGAGACCCCCGUAGUCCCUGUCUCUUAUAC
This 301-nucleotide ribosomal RNA is filed under the name uncultured bacterium. Its description in RNAcentral is "partial 16S ribosomal RNA". It matches the Rfam family "Bacterial small subunit ribosomal RNA", at positions 509 to 807 of the family's 1533-position model. The record is from RNAcentral.